CGCAUCUGUGCAUGCAGCAUAUCAAUAAGCGGAGGAAAAGAAACUAACAAGGAUUCCCCUAGUAACGGCGAGUGAAGCGGGAAAGAGCUCAAAUUUGAAAUCUUAAAGGGUUUCCCUUUACGAAUUGUAGUUUAAAGAAGUGUUUUCUGUUGAGGUUUUGGUAAAAGUUCUUUGGAAUAGGACAUCAUAGAGGGUGAGAAUCCCGUAUUUGACCUUUACUUUCAACUUUGUGAUACACUUUCAAAGAGUCGGAUUGUUUGGGAAUGCAGUCCAAAAUGGGUGGUAAAUUUCAUCUAAAGCUAAAUAUUGGCGAGAGACCGAUAGCGAACAAGUACCGUGAGGGAAAGAUGAAAAGAACUUUGAAAAGAGAGUUAAACAGUACGUGAAAUUGUCAAAAGGGAAGCGUUUGACACCAGUGUUGUUUUUCUGAAAAUCAAUUAAAGAACUGUUUAUGCUAAGUUGUUUAGACUUUAUCAGCUAACUGUUUAGCUUUUGAGCUUUUCUUUAAUGCACUUUUCAGUUAACAAGUCAACAUCAAUUUCUUUUGCUGUAAAAAAGCUUGAGGAAGGUGGCUUGAGAUUCGUCUUAAGUGUUUAUAGCCUCUUGCCUAUGCAGUCGGAGAGAUUGAGGUCUGCAGCUGUAGAUCCUUCGGGGCUAAAUGCAUUUGUGCUAAGUUAUAGCAUUUUAUAGACAACUUGUUGACUAUGAUUUGUCUUGUAGCUUACUCGCUUAUGUUAUUUUACCUACGCUUAGGAUGUUGACAGCAGUAUAGACUGU
RNAcentral lists this ribosomal RNA (777 nucleotides) under uncultured Neocallimastigales. RNAcentral describes it as "partial large subunit ribosomal RNA". It matches the Rfam family "Eukaryotic large subunit ribosomal RNA", at positions 26 to 637 of the family's 3401-position model. The record is from RNAcentral. Lineage: Eukaryota; Fungi; Neocallimastigomycota; Neocallimastigomycetes; Neocallimastigales.